This 414-nucleotide long non-coding RNA is filed under the name Theobroma cacao (cacao). RNAcentral's name for it is "long non-coding RNA (TCAC_LNC002381)". Lineage: Eukaryota; Viridiplantae; Streptophyta; Magnoliopsida; Malvales; Malvaceae. The record is from RNAcentral.
GACAGAGUGCUUCGAAAGUCUGCAUUCUAGACAUUGUGAGUAAACUUACUGUCAUUUUAAUUAUCUAGGGUGGUUUUUAGAUGCUUUCAUGAAUUCUAUGGAAAAAGGAAUUUAAAAAGGUAAAUUUUCAUGUUUUAUGAAUAAAUGAGUUUCAAUGAAAUUAAUUUAUAAAUUGUUUUGGAAUUAAUAAUGAUUUUGAAAAAUAGAGUACACGGAGACUGUUAAUUGUGACAAUUUGAUUGUUUAAAUUGACUGGCUUAUGAUAAAUCGAGCAUGAUUGGCUAGUUGACAAUUGUAUUGAAAUGCGAAUUGUUUGGUUGCCUUGAAAAACUGCGAAUUACAAAAUUGCCAUAUCAUGUUAUUGAGUUUUAUUAUAUGGUGGAUUAUAUAUUAAUUAAUCACUGCAAUAGGGGG